CUUUACUAUAGCGUGUCAUUGAAAUUAUGUGUCUACUGCUUAGAAUAGGUGGGAGACUUUGAAGAUUUUCUUCCGGGAAAAUCUGAGUCGAAAUAUGAAAUACCACCCUGUAUUCAUGUGAUUUCUAACCAAUCCUUAACCUAGGUUGGGACAGUGGCUCGUGGGUAGUUUAACUGGGGCGGUUGCCUCCUAAAUGGUAACGGAGGCGUUUAUUAAGGUAAGCUAGGCAUGGAUGGAAAUCAUGCUGAUAGUGCAAACGCAUAAGCUUGCUUGACUGCAAGAGUCGCAACUUGCGCAGGUACGAAAGUAGAAGUUAGUGAUCCGAUGCGUUAGAGUGGAAUACGCAAAGCCCAACGGAUAAAAGUUA
This 367-nucleotide ribosomal RNA is filed under the name uncultured organism. RNAcentral's name for it is "bacterial LSU rRNA". It matches the Rfam family "Bacterial large subunit ribosomal RNA", at positions 2099 to 2465 of the family's 2925-position model. The record is from RNAcentral.